UAGUGGACUCACUGUUAUAACUUACAUAAAUUAGCAUUAAAUACCUUAUUUGACAAGAUUUUACAAAGAAGCAGGAAAAAUACAGGAUCGAGUAAACACAGGUUGCCUUCUGCUGUGCAAGACAGGAUGAUAGUAACACUGCAGCACUGACAGUAACAAAACAGACCUAUACACCUGAUAGUACAUCUGAUACUGUGGAGUCAUUUCUCUGCAGACGCACAUUCAGCUUUAAAUAACACCUAGCGGCAGGCAGGCGGCCAGACAGGUGGCCAGACAGGUGGCCUGUGAAGGAAAACAUAGGAAUGUACAGGUACAAUAAAUACAGUGAUUGAUACAGGAAGGCCCGA
Molecule: long non-coding RNA, 347 nt
Organism: Oncorhynchus tshawytscha (Chinook salmon)
Lineage: Eukaryota; Metazoa; Chordata; Actinopteri; Salmoniformes; Salmonidae
Exons: 2
Source: RefSeq, a predicted model, not a curated record